Molecule: unclassified non-coding RNA, 206 nt
Filed under: Hevea brasiliensis (rubber tree)
Lineage: Eukaryota; Viridiplantae; Streptophyta; Magnoliopsida; Malpighiales; Euphorbiaceae
Source: RNAcentral
GUGGCACUCACUUUGAGUGGUCGCUCUAUGAUCAUUGGUGAUCAAAUGUGCUAGAAGUGCCAAGAAGAAGUGAAUUCAAGCAGUGAUUCUCCCAAACUUUUGUUUGUUUGUCAAUUCAUUACUGAUAGGAAAAGAUGACGACAAACAUGUGGAACUGUGUGGGAGUAGUUGGUCAUGUUGUAGUAGAGUAUGAUCUCGUUAUACUU